GACGAACGCUGGCGGCGUGCUUAACACAUGCAAGUCGAGCGGUAAGGCCCUUUCGGGGGUACACGAGCGGCGAACGGGUGAGUAACACGUGGGUGACCUGCCCUCAGCUCUGGGAUAAGCCCGGGAAACUGGGUCUAAUACCGGAUAUGACUCCAUGACGCAUGUUGUGGGGUGGAAAGCCUUGUGCGGCUGAGGAUGGGCCCGCGGCCUAUCAGCUUGUUGGUGGGGUGAUGGCCACCAAGGCGACGACGGGUAGCCGGCCUGAGAGGGCGACCGGCCACACUGGGACUGAGACACGGCCCAGACUCCUACGGGAGGCAGCAGUGGGGAAUCUUGCGCAAUGGGCGAAAGCCUGACGCAGCGACGCCGCGUGAGGGAUGACGG
This 384-nucleotide ribosomal RNA is filed under the name uncultured bacterium. RNAcentral's name for it is "bacterial SSU rRNA". It matches the Rfam family "Bacterial small subunit ribosomal RNA", at positions 28 to 414 of the family's 1533-position model. The record is from RNAcentral.